RNAcentral lists this unclassified non-coding RNA (344 nucleotides) under soil metagenome. RNAcentral's name for it is "partial contains 5.8S ribosomal RNA, internal transcribed spacer 2, and large subunit ribosomal RNA". The stretch from base 1 to 120 matches the Rfam family "5.8S ribosomal RNA", at positions 35 to 154 of the family's 154-position model. The record is from RNAcentral.
GAUGAAGAACGUAGCGAAAUGCGAUAAGUAAUGUGAAUUGCAGAAUUCAGUGAAUCAUCGAGUCUUUGAACGCACAUUGCGCCCCCUGGUAUUCCGGGGGGCAUGCCUGUCCGAGCGUCAUUGCUGCCCUCAAGCACGGCUUGUGUGUUGGGCUCCGCCCCCUUCCCGGGGGGCGGGCCCGAAAGGCAGCGGCGGCACCGCGUCCGGUCCUCGAGCGUAUGGGGCUUUGUCACCCGCUCUGUAGGCCCGGCCGGCGCCCGCCGGCGACCCCAAUCAAUCUUUCCAGGUUGACCUCGGAUCAGGUAGGGAUACCCGCUGAACUUAAGCAUAUCAAUAGCGGAGGA